Molecule: non-coding RNA, 25 nt
Filed under: Mus musculus (house mouse)
Lineage: Eukaryota; Metazoa; Chordata; Mammalia; Rodentia; Muridae
Source: RNAcentral
UCCUGCCAGUCUAAUAGGACCUCAU